UCGCGUGAUCAUGGCGAGAGGGAAACACCCGUUCCCAUCCCGAACACGGCAGUUAAGCCUCUCAGCGGCGGAAGUACUUGGUGGGCAACCUCCCGGAAGAUAUGCACGUUGCGCGGA
RNAcentral lists this ribosomal RNA (117 nucleotides) under Fimbriimonadaceae bacterium. The record is from RNAcentral. Lineage: Bacteria; Bacillati; Armatimonadota; Fimbriimonadia; Fimbriimonadales; Fimbriimonadaceae.